Molecule: ribosomal RNA, 700 nt
Filed under: uncultured bacterium
Lineage: Bacteria
Description: bacterial SSU rRNA
Rfam family: Bacterial small subunit ribosomal RNA
Source: RNAcentral
AGUGGCGCACGGGUGGGUAACGCGUGGGUAAUCUGCCUCCGAAUUGGGGAUAACACUGCGAAAGCGGUGCUAAUACCGAAUAACACCUCCGGGACCCAGGUCCUGGAGAUCAAAGGUGGCCUCUACAUGUAAGCUACUGUUUGGAGAUGAGCCCGCGUACCAUUAGCUAGUUGGUGGGGUAACGGCUCACCAAGGCUGCGAUGGUUAGCUGGUCUGAGAGGAUGAUCAGCCACACUGGAACUGACACACGGUCCAGACUCCUACGGGAGGCAGCAGUGAGGAAUUUUGCGCAAUGGGGGAAACCCUGACGCAGCAACGCCGCGUGAGUGAUGAAGGCUUUCGGGUCGUAAAGCUCUGUCAAGUGGGAAGAACCUGCUCCAUGCUAAUAUCAUGGUGCAUUGGCGGUACCACUGAAGGAAGCACCGGCUAACUCCGUGCCAGCAGCCGCGGUAAUACGGGGGGUGCUAGCGUUAUUCGGAAUCAUUGGGCGUAAAGGGCGCGUAGGCGGUCUCUUAUGUCAGAUGUGAAAGCCCUCGGCUUAACCGAGGAAGUGCAUUUGAAACUGAGAGACUUGAGUAUGGGAGAGGGAAGCGGAAUUCCUGGUGUAGCGGUGAAAUGCGUAGAUAUCAGGAGGAACACCGGUGGCGAAGGCGGCUUCCUGGACCAAUACUGACGCUGAGGCGCGAAGGCGUGGGGAGCA